Molecule: ribosomal RNA, 305 nt
Filed under: uncultured bacterium
Lineage: Bacteria
Description: partial 16S ribosomal RNA
Rfam family: Bacterial small subunit ribosomal RNA
Source: RNAcentral
ACAGCAGUAGCCACGGUAAUACGAAGGGUGCAAGCGUUAAUCGGAAUUACUGGGCGUAAAGCGUGCGUAGGCGGUGAGUUAAGUCUGCUGUGAAAUCCCCGGGCUCAACCUGGGAAUGGCAGUGGAUACUGGCUCGCUAGAGUGUGUCAGAGGAUGGUGGAAUUCCCGGUGUAGCGGUGAAAUGCGUAGAGAUCGGGAGGAACAUCAGUGGCGAAGGCGGCCAUCUGGGACAACACUGACGCUGAGGCACGAAAGCGUGGGGAGCAAACAGGAUUAGAUACCCGCGUAGUCCCUGUCUCUUAUAA